This 591-nucleotide long non-coding RNA is filed under the name Vigna radiata. RNAcentral describes it as "long non-coding RNA (VRAD_LNC012828)". Lineage: Eukaryota; Viridiplantae; Streptophyta; Magnoliopsida; Fabales; Fabaceae. The record is from RNAcentral.
AGCAGGAUGUAUGAAUGAAUAUUGUGUGAGAAAGCAUGUUUUGUGAGGUAUUGAGCUCCAAAGUUUUUAUUGUUGUAUGCAUAGUUCACAGGAAAACAUGAAUGAUAUUGCCUUAAUCUUGAUGAUUGAUUGAAUUGCAUGUGAAUGUCAUAUGAUCAAGGCCAUUUUGUUUGAAAGCCCUUCUCUAGCCAAAUUUUCACCCAUAGAGCUUAAAAUUUUAUACCCUUUUUGAACCUUGGCCUUAAACAGGAUNUGAACCCUUGUCUUGAAAUUCUUUACCUUGAGUUGGGAUGAGCUUAACUGUAUGUGAUGAAAAGGUUCAAGUUUGGGGUUGCAUGGGGGAAAUUGGAAAGCUAUUAAGAAGCAUUGAGCUCAAUUGUUGAAAAAGAAAAAUGCAUGAGAAAAAGAAAAAAAUAAGAAAAAGCAUGAAGAUGAGCUCAAUGAAAAAGAAAAAGGGAAAAAGUUGGGAAUGAGAGAGAUUGGUGAGGAAGAGAGUUGUGCUUAAAUGUUGAAUAUUAUGAUAGCUCUCUUAACUCAAGGAUUUUGUUUUCCAGAAGAAACCAAUUUUUCUUGUUAACCCAACCUCAUUAC